Molecule: ribosomal RNA, 444 nt
Filed under: uncultured bacterium
Lineage: Bacteria
Description: partial 16S ribosomal RNA
Rfam family: Bacterial small subunit ribosomal RNA
Source: RNAcentral
CCUAACGGGUGGCAGCAGUGGGGAAUAUUGGGCAAUGGGCGCAAGCCUGACCCAGCAACGCCGCGUGAAGGAAGAAGGCUUUCGGGUUGUAAACUUCUUUUCUCAGGGACGAAGCAAGUGACGGUACCUGAGGACUAAGCCACGGCUAACUACGUGCCAGCAGCCGUGGUAAUACGUAGGUGGCAAGCGUUAUCCGGAUUUACUGGGUGUAAAGGGCGUGUAGGUGGGACUGCAAGUCAGAUGUGAAAACCACGGGCUCAACCUGUGGCCUGCAUUUGAAACUGUAGUUCUUGAGUACUGGAGAGGCAGACGGAAUUCCUAGUGUAGCGGUGAAAUGCGUAGAUAGUAGGAGGAACACCAGUGGCGAAGGCGGUCUGCUGGACAGCAACUGACGCUGAGGCGCGAAAGCGUGGGGAGCAAACAGGAUUAGAUACCCCAGUAGUC